This 72-nucleotide transfer RNA is filed under the name Pygoscelis adeliae (Adelie penguin). RNAcentral describes it as "tRNA-Val". Lineage: Eukaryota; Metazoa; Chordata; Aves; Sphenisciformes; Spheniscidae. The record is from RNAcentral.
CAAGGCGUAGCUAUAACACAAAGCACUCAGCUUACACCUGAGAGAUAUCUGCUGCCGACCAGAUCGCCUUGA